GACGUAGGGCGCGAGCGUUGUCCGGAUUGAUUGGGCGUAAAGAGCUCGUAGGCGGUUCGUCGCGUCGGCUGUGAAAUCCCGAGGCUCAACCUCGGGUCUGCAGUCGAUACGGGCGGACUGGAGUUCGGCAGGGGAGACUGGAAUUCCUGGUGUAGCGGUGAAAUGCGCAGAUAUCAGGAGGAACACCGGUGGCGAAGGCGGGUCUCUGGGCCGAUACUGACGCUGAGGAGCGAAAGCGUGGGGAGCGAACAGG
This 253-nucleotide ribosomal RNA is filed under the name uncultured bacterium. RNAcentral's name for it is "partial 16S ribosomal RNA". It matches the Rfam family "Bacterial small subunit ribosomal RNA", at positions 524 to 776 of the family's 1533-position model. The record is from RNAcentral.